GCCCGGGUGGUGAAAUGGUAGACACGAGGGACUUAAAAUCCCUUGGCCCAACGGCCGUGCGGGUUCAAGUCCCGCCCCGGGCA
This 83-nucleotide transfer RNA is filed under the name Flavobacteriales bacterium. Its description in RNAcentral is "tRNA-Leu". It matches the Rfam family "tRNA". From Rfam's summary of the family: Transfer RNA (tRNA) molecules are approximately 80 nucleotides in length. Their secondary structure includes four short double-helical elements and three loops (D, anti-codon, and T loops). Lineage: Bacteria; Pseudomonadati; Bacteroidota; Flavobacteriia; Flavobacteriales. The record is from RNAcentral.